AGUGAACGCUGGCGGUAGGCCUAACACAUGCAAGUCGAACGGCAGCACAGAGGAGCUUGCUCCUUGGGUGGCGAGUGGCGGACGGGUGAGGAAUACAUCGGAAUCUACUCUGUCGUGGGGGAUAACGUAGGGAAACUUACGCUAAUACCGCAUACGACCUACGGGUGAAAGCAGGGGAUCUUCGGACCUUGCGCGAUUGAAUGAGCCGAUGUCGGAUUAGCUAGUUGGCGGGGUAAAGGCCCACCAAGGCGACGAUCCGUAGCUGGUCUGAGAGGAUGAUCAGCCACACUGGAACUGAGACACGGUCCAGACUCCUACGGGAGGCAGCAGUGGGGAAUAUUGGACAAUGGGCGCAAGCCUGAUCCAGCCAUACCGCGUGGGUGAAGAAGGCCUUCGGGUUGUAAAGCCCUUUUGUUGGGAAAGAAAUCCAGCCGGCUAAUACCUGGUUGGGAUGACGGUACCCAAAGAAUAAGCACCGGCUAACUUCGUGCCAGCAGCCGCGGUAAUACGAAGGGUGCAAGCGUUACUCGGAAUUACUGGGCGUAAAGCGUGCGUAGGUGGUUAUUUAAGUCCGUUGUGAAAGCCCUGGGCUCAACCUGGGAACUGCAGUGGAUACUGGAUGACUAGAAUGUGGUAGAGGGUAGCGGAAUUCCUGGUGUAGCAGUGAAAUGCGUAGAGAUCAGGAGGAACAUCCAUGGCGAAGGCAGCUACCUGGACCAACAUUGACACUGAGGGCACGAAAGCGUGGGGAGCAAACAGG
RNAcentral lists this ribosomal RNA (760 nucleotides) under uncultured Stenotrophomonas sp. RNAcentral's name for it is "bacterial SSU rRNA". It matches the Rfam family "Bacterial small subunit ribosomal RNA", at positions 28 to 776 of the family's 1533-position model. Lineage: Bacteria; Pseudomonadati; Pseudomonadota; Gammaproteobacteria; Lysobacterales; Lysobacteraceae. The record is from RNAcentral.